RNAcentral lists this ribosomal RNA (252 nucleotides) under uncultured bacterium. RNAcentral's name for it is "partial 16S ribosomal RNA". It matches the Rfam family "Bacterial small subunit ribosomal RNA", at positions 524 to 776 of the family's 1533-position model. The record is from RNAcentral.
UACGUAGGGCGCAAGCGUUGUCCGGAGUUAUUGGGCGUAAAGAGCUCGUAGGCGGUUUGUCGCGUCUGAUGUGAAAACCUAGGCUCAACCUUGGGCUUGCAGUGGGUACGGGCAGACUAGAGUGCGGUAGGGGUGACUGGAAUUCCUGGUGUAGCGGUGGAAUGCGCAGAUAUCAGGAGGAACACCGAUGGCGAAGGCAGGUCACUGGGCCGCAACUGACGCUGAGGAGCGAAAGCAUGGGGAGCGAACAGG